Non-coding RNA from Ictidomys tridecemlineatus (thirteen-lined ground squirrel), 69 nucleotides. NCBI's taxonomy places the organism in Eukaryota, Metazoa, Chordata, Mammalia, Rodentia, Sciuridae. The record is from Rfam.
GGGGUUGUGGCUCAGUGGUAGAGCACUUGCCUAGCACGUGUAAGGCACUGAGUUCGAUUCUCAGCACCA